GUGGGGAAUAUUGGACAAUGGGGGGAACCCUGAUCCAGCCAUGCCGCGUGUGUGAAGAAGGCCUUUUGGUUGUAAAGCACUUUAAGCGAGGAGGAGGCUACCGAGAUUAAUACUCUUGGAUAGUGGUCGUUACUCGCAGAAUAAGCACCGGCUAACUCUGUGCCAGCAGCCGCGGUAAUACAGAGGGUGCAAGCGUUAAUCGGAUUUACUGGGCGUAAAGCGCGCGUAGGUGGCCAAUUAAGUCAAAUGUGAAAUCCCCGAGCUUAACUUGGGAAUUGCCAUCGAUACUGGUUGGCUCGAGUAUGGGAGAGGAUGGUAGAAUUCCAGGUGUAGCGGUGAAAUGCGUAGAGAUCUGGAGGAAUACCGAUGGCGAAGGCAGCCAUCUGGCCUAAUACUGACACUGAGGAGCGAAAGCAUGGGGAGCAAACAGGAUUAGAAACCCGUGUAGUCC
Molecule: ribosomal RNA, 451 nt
Filed under: uncultured bacterium
Lineage: Bacteria
Description: partial 16S ribosomal RNA
Rfam family: Bacterial small subunit ribosomal RNA
Source: RNAcentral